ACUCAAAGGAAUUGACGGGGGCCCGCACAAGCGGUGGAGCAUGUUGUUUAAUACGUAACUAACCGUAGAACCUUACCAGGGCUUGACAUCCGCUGUCGGGGCGGGAAACCGUCCUCUCCCCGCAAGGGGACAGCGAGACAGGUGUUGCAUGGCUGUCGUCAGCUCGUGUCGUGAGAUGUUGGGUUAAGUCCCGCAACGAGCGCAACCCUCACCCCCUGUUGCCAGCGCGUGAAGGCGGGGACUCUGGGGGAACUGCCUGUGUAAGCAGGAGGAAGGUGGGGACGAAGUCAAGUCAGCAUGGCCCUUACGCUCUGGGCUACAAACAUGCUACAAUGGACGGCAGACAGAGGGACCCGAGACCGCGAGGUGGAGGCAAUCUCACAAAUCCGUCCCCAGUUCAGAUCGCAGGCUGCAACUCGCCUGCGUGAAGUCGGAAUCGCUAGUAACCGCCGAUCAGCCAAGCGGCGGUGAAUACGUUCCCGGGCCUUGCACACACCGCCCGU
This 503-nucleotide ribosomal RNA is filed under the name uncultured bacterium. RNAcentral describes it as "partial 16S ribosomal RNA". It matches the Rfam family "Bacterial small subunit ribosomal RNA", at positions 899 to 1397 of the family's 1533-position model. The record is from RNAcentral.